UACGUAGGGUGCAAGCGUUGUCCGGAAUUAUUGGGCGUAAAGAGCUCGUAGGCGGUCUGUCGCGUCUGCUGUGAAACCUAGGGCUUAACUCUGGGCGUGCAGUGGGUACGGGCAGACUAGAGUGCGGUAGGGGAGACUGGAAUUCCUGGUGUAGCGGUGGAAUGCGCAGAUAUCAGGAGGAACACCGAUGGCGAAGGCAGGAUCACUGGGCCGCGAACGACGCUGAGGAGCGAAAGCUGGGGAGCGAACAGG
This 252-nucleotide ribosomal RNA is filed under the name uncultured bacterium. Its description in RNAcentral is "partial 16S ribosomal RNA". It matches the Rfam family "Bacterial small subunit ribosomal RNA", at positions 524 to 776 of the family's 1533-position model. The record is from RNAcentral.